UGAUGUACCAAAUUUUUCUUUAGUAAGACUGUUCUAAUUUACAUUCCCACCAGCCAAGUAGGAGUAUGCCCGUUUCUCCACAAUUUUGCCAACAGAAUUUGUUGUCAUAUUUUAAAAUUUGUGCCAAUGUGAUAGGUGAGAAAUGGUAUUUCAGUGUUGUUUCAAUUUGUGCUUUUCUAAUUAAGAGUUUUAACAUUUUCCGAUAUGUUAGAUUAUUGUGUCAUACAAUGUUUUCAAUUUUUAAUUUUUGUGUAGUCAAAUUGUUCGAUCUUUUACUGCCUCUGUAUUUUGAGUAAUAGUUGGAAAGCCUUUUCAUACUCAGAGUUAAGGAAGAAUUCUCUCACGUUUUCUUCUAGUACUUGCAUGGUUUUAUUUUUCUCUUCCCAAUUUAUUUGGAGUUUAUUCUUUUGUAUUGUGAGACAUGGAUCUGAUUUUAUUUUCCCAAAUGACCACGCAAUUGUUCCAGCAUUAUUUAUUAAAAAGUUUAUCAUUACCCUAGUGAUUUGAAAUGCCACCUUUGUCAUAUACCUGAAUUUCCAUCUGUACAUGGGUUUAAUUCUAGAGUUUCUGUAUUCUACUGGUCUGUCUGUCCAUGCACUAGUACUUCAUGAUUUUAAUUAUAGAGAUUUUAGUGUGUUUUAAUGUCUGAGGAGGUAGUAUUCCUCUGUGGGUUUUUUUCAUUUUUUUUUUUUUAACAUGUUAUUGUAUAUUUGUUUUUCUAUCUGAACUUUAGUACCAGUUUGUCUACUUUCAUAAAAUCGCUUAUUGGUAUUUUAUUGUGAUUGCAUUGAAUUUGUACAUUAACUUAGGGAGACCAAUAUUUGUAUAAUGUUCAGUCAUCUUAUCCAAUAAUAGGGGAUGUUCUAUUAGUUUAUGUAUUCUUAAAUCUCUUUUAGAAUUGCUUGAAAAUAUUCCUCUUAGAUGUUUUGCACAUUUUUUGU
RNAcentral lists this long non-coding RNA (941 nucleotides) under Pan troglodytes (chimpanzee). RNAcentral's name for it is "long non-coding RNA NONPTRT010375". The record is from RNAcentral. Lineage: Eukaryota; Metazoa; Chordata; Mammalia; Primates; Hominidae.